GAUGUUAGCGGCGGACGGGUGAGUAACACGUGGGUAACCUGCCUGUAAGACUGGGAUAACUCCGGGAAACCGGAGCUAAUACCGGAUAGUUCCUUGAACCGCAUGGUUCAAGGAUGAAAGACGGUUUCGGCUGUCACUUACAGAUGGACCCGCGGCGCAUUAGCUAGUUGGUGAGGUAACGGCUCACCAAGGCGACGAUGCGUAGCCGACCUGAGAGGGUGAUCGGCCACACUGGGACUGAGACACGGCCCAGACUCCUACGGGAGGCAGCAGUAGGGAAUCUUCCGCAAUGGACGAAAGUCUGACGGAGCAACGCCGCGUGAGUGAUGAAGGUUUUCGGAUCGUAAAGCUCUGUUGUUAGGGAAGAACAAGUGCAAGAGUAACUGCUUGCACCUUGACGGUACCUAACCAGAAAGCCACGGCUAACUACGUGCCAGCAGCCGCGGUAAUACGUAGGUGGCAAGCGUUGUCCGGAAUUAUUGGGCGUAAAGGGCUCGCAGGCGGUUUCUUAAGUCUGAUGUGAAAGCCCCCGGCUCAACCGGGGAGGGUCAUUGGAAACUGGGAAACUUGAGUGCAGAAGAGGAGAGUGGAAUUCCACGUGUAGCGGUGAAAUGCGUAGAGAUGUGGAGGAACACCAGUGGCGAAGGCGACUCUCUGGUCUGUAACUGACGCUGAGGAGCGAAAGCGUGGGGAGCGAACAGGAUUAGAUACCCUGGUAGUCCACGCCGUAAACGAUGAGUGCUAAGUGUUUAGGGGGUUUCCGCCCCUUAGUGCUGCAGCUAACGCAUUAAGCACU
This 796-nucleotide ribosomal RNA is filed under the name Bacillus sp. FJAT-17458. RNAcentral's name for it is "bacterial SSU rRNA". It matches the Rfam family "Bacterial small subunit ribosomal RNA", at positions 88 to 868 of the family's 1533-position model. The record is from RNAcentral. Lineage: Bacteria; Bacillati; Bacillota; Bacilli; Caryophanales; Bacillaceae.